AGGUAAAUAGCUCAAUGGUAGAACACAUGCUUAGCAUGCAUGAGGUCCUGGAUUCAAUCCCCAGUACCUC
RNAcentral lists this transfer RNA (70 nucleotides) under Camelus bactrianus (Bactrian camel). It matches the Rfam family "tRNA". Rfam says of the family: Transfer RNA (tRNA) molecules are approximately 80 nucleotides in length. RNAcentral also lists the same sequence under 1 other name. Lineage: Eukaryota; Metazoa; Chordata; Mammalia; Artiodactyla; Camelidae. The record is from Rfam by way of RNAcentral.